GAGAACCCGCCCCCUCCUCCGGGAUAGCCUCGGGAAACCGUGGGUAAUACCGGAUGACCCCGCAGGGCCGCAUGGCCCCGCGGGCAAAGCCCAGACGGGAGGGGAUGGCUCCGCGGCCCAUCAGGUAGACGGCGGGGUGACGGCCCACCGUGCCGACGACGGGUAGCCGGGUUGAGAGACCGACCGGCCAGAUUGGGACUGAGACACGGCCCAGACUCCUACGGGAGGCAGCAGUGGGGAAUCUUGCGCAAUGGGGGGAACCCUGACGCAGCGACGCCGCGUGCGGGACGAAGGCCCUCGGGUCGUAAACCGCUUUCAGCAGGGAUGAGACAAGACGGUACCUGCAGAAGAAGCCCCGGCUAACUACGUGCCAGCAGCCGCGGUAAUACGUAGGGGGCGAGCGUUAUCCGGAUUCAUUGGGCGUAAAGCGCGCGUAGGCGGCCCGGCAGGCAGGGGGUCAAAAGGCGGGGCUCACCCCCGUCCCGCCCCCUGAACCCGCCGGGCUCGGGUCCGGUAGGGGAGGGUGGAACACCCGGUGUAGCGGUGGAAUGCGCAGAUAUCGGGUGGAACACCGGUGGCGAAGGCGGCCCUCUGGGCCGAGACCGACGCUGAGGCGCGAAAGCUGGGGGAGCGAACAGGAUUAGAUACCCUGGUAGUCCACACGGUAAACGAUGAAUACUCGCUGUUUGCGAUAUACAGCAAGCGGCCAAGCGAAAGCGUUAAGUAUUCCACCUGGGGAGUACGCCGGCAACGGUGAAACUCAAAGGAAUUGACGGGGGCCCGCACAAGCGGAGGAACAUGUGGUUUAAUUCGAUGAUACGCGAGGAACCUUACCCGGGCUUAAAUUGCAGAUGAAUUACGGUGAAAGCCGUAAGCCGCAAGGCAUCUGUGAAGGUGCUGCAUGGUUGUCGUCAGCUCGUGCCGUGAGGUGUCGGCUUAAGUGCCAUAACGAGCGCAACCCUUGUUGUCAGUUACUAACAGGUUCCGCUGAGGACUCUGACAAGACUGCCAUCGUAAGAUGUGAGGAAGGUGGGGAUGACGUCAAAUCAGCACGGCCCUUACGUCCGGGGCUACACACGUGUUACAAUGGGGGGUACAGAGGGCCGCUACCACGCGAGUGGAUGCCAAUCCCCAAAACCUCUCUCAGUUCGGACUGGAGUCUGCAACCCGACUCCACGAAGCUGGAUUCGCUAGUAAUCGAAAAUCAGCCACGGCGCGGUGAAUACGUUCCCGGG
RNAcentral lists this ribosomal RNA (1235 nucleotides) under uncultured bacterium. RNAcentral describes it as "bacterial SSU rRNA". It matches the Rfam family "Bacterial small subunit ribosomal RNA", at positions 120 to 1378 of the family's 1533-position model. The record is from RNAcentral.